AGCAAAUGUGCCACGUCAAGACUGGAAAUCACAGCCCUUGAGUGUGUCUCAGUCAGUGCAGCAGAAUUCAGGGGGGAUAGCCGAAUGCAACCCCUGGUGCAGGAAGGGAGGCUUUUCCCAAAGACCGGGACAGGAUUUUAAGUACACAGAUGGAAGCUUCUGGAGAUCCUGCUCCGUCGCCCCAGUGUUCAGACUACCUGUUCAGGACAAUGCCGUUGUACAGUAGUCUGCACAUUGGUUAGACUGGGCAGGGGAGCGCAACGCCACGGACGGCUGGGGACAGAAGUUGCUGUUUCCAAGGAGAAGACUUCUGUUUGCUUUUUCAAAUCUCAUACCCAGUGUUUUUCUUCACAGGUUUUGCACACUAGGGACCAAGAAGCCCUCGGGGACACCGCUGAGAGAGGACUGUUGGAAAGAAGACCUGUGGGUAAGGCCUCCUUGACUGCUCACCUGGUCUGUGCCCAGGAGAGGCGAGGUGGGGAGCCAAUGAUUUGCGUUCACGUGCGAGAGAAACAGAGGUAUAUGUGUCAUGCGAAGCAAUGCAUUUAGUUUUGAAAGAGUAACAAUAUGUGGUAUAUAGCGAUUUACUCUAUGUUAGUUGAUUUCUGAAGAUCUAGAAGUCAAGUAUAUUUUUAAGUUUAAAGUUUUUCCUCCUUUAAAAUGAAAUAUGAAAAGACUCCAGACACUUAAGAAUAACUUAAUGAGGCUAGUUUUUAAUUGUUGAAAUUAAUAAUACAAAGACCUAAUAACUUACUUGAAUAAGGGCUGUAGUAGAACUUUUAACCUCCCCGGGAUUGAAUCCAUUUUGCUUCAAAGUAAAGAAUAUUGGCUAUUUUUACAAUGCUAUCUGAAGAGUGCUUUUUUUUGAAAAUUUACGUACAUGAUAAUAUCUAACAAUAAAAGAAGAGGCUGCCAAGUUCUUGCCCACCAGACAAUACAAAUGGGACUGACCCAGAAAAGAGCGCCAACCCAGAACCUAGUGAGUCAGCAACUGAUUAAGUCACAGAAUAGAAGAAACCUCUGUCUUCAGAUAUCCCAAUAUACAUCUGUGUCACAUUUUUUUUUUUAAAUCAAAAAAUGGUUGAUAAUUGCUGGUCAGCUGAGACCUCAUGCCUAUAUUUUACAAUGCUUCUAUUUCUCUGAGCAUUUAAAAUGAUAAGGUACUUUGUCUAGAAACCCACUGAUAAAAAAGGAAUUUGUAAACGAAGGCAAAGUUUUCUUUGGUCAGUUUCCAGCUGUCCUGGAGGUGAAGGGGGAUGGGUGGGGAAGGUGGGAGGGAGGAAAACCCUUAAGCUGAAUGAAAUCCCAAUAGAGAGAAUAAUAGAGAAAGUCUGGGUUGCAAUAUGAUCCUUGCUGAACUUUAAAGGUGGGUCUCUUAAAGAAAGUUCUGGAAAAAUGUUACUGCCUCACCCCUAAUUCCCUCAACCCCCAUUUAUAUCUACUCCCAAACAAUUCUAUAUAAUGAAAACAUCUGUUCUAUAGUUUUUUAUGAAAAAGUGGAUGUGAUCCCUUUUUGUCCUCCUUUAAAUUUUUUAAAAUUACAGUGAUUCCUGAACAAAUCCUUUUCUAAAUUACACAUUUUGCAACAAUUCAAAAUUAUCACAAGUUCUCUUUUGCGACCCAUUUUAUUAAACAAGGUUCCCCAAGUUAUCUUUCGUCAAAACAAUCUGCUUUUUUAAAUGACCCUUUUGAUCAUCCUCAAACUGGCGUAAAGAACAUAUAACCUUUUAUUCAUGGUUUUUAGUUAAAAUAUAAAAAGCAUGGAUAAAUUUAGUUAUCUUCUCCACUUAGAUGAUAUAGUAAAGUCUUCCUUUGUUUUUUCUAUUGUGACUUAGAGGCUUCCAUAUUAAUUAUUUUUAAUAGAACAAGAGAUAUUUAAAAUCUAUAUAGUUUCUUUUACAUAAGAAAACAAAAAAAAAAACCUAUUAGGUAAAUACAGAAGCUUAUUUUCUCCGAUAUAUAUUUUUACUAACUGAAGCAGUUACUAAAGAAGAAAGAUAGCUAUAACGGGCUUUUUUUGGUUUUUGGUUUUCGUUUUUUUAGUCUGUAGAAAUGACAGAAUUUCAUAACUUGCCUUCAUUCACGUAUAUUCAAUUUAAAUGUCUGUCUUCAUAAUAAAUCGCCUUUUUGUUUCUAAGAAACCAACCACAAUUGGUCGCCCACCAAAUUUCUCCCUAGGAUGACUUUUAGUCUGGAGACAGAGAGGACUCGAUUGCGUCCUUGGCAUAAAUACAGGAAUAGGAACAUAAGAAUUAAUUUGUAAGGGGGUAGCCGAGGAGUGCCUGCAAGUGGUUGGUGGAGUCCUGAGGACCCAUUUUUGAUGCAAGCUUUAAACAAAUGAAAAGGAAUCACACUUACUUUUAAAUUGCAUGAGCUAAAUUACAGAUCCAAAGUAAAAGCUCACUUUAUAAACUCCUGUUGACUGAAGGCAAGGAUGGUAGUUUAAGCAGUGGUAUAUAUACCAGCACGUAUACACACAUAUCAUAAAAUAACCGUGUCUAUUUCCAGAGUAAUUAGAACAAUGUUUAACUUUAUUUUGAUAUUACUUUAUAAGGAGAUAUACAAAUAUUUUAGAGGUCAUGGGAUCUAUUCCAGAGGAAACUAACCAACAAUGACAUCUUCAAGUAAAACUACCCCUGGAUAUGAUGGUGAGUAUUAAAAUUAAACACUGUACAUUGUCAGAAAGAGAAAAAUGUUUUCAGGGGUCUGUCCAAACUGCAGUUCAUUGAAGCUGAGUAGUUAUUUUUUGUUUUAGUGCGUGGAUGACUGGUAAGUUAGGCUAGGUACUGGGUUAAAAGGAAAACUUUUUCUAGCAUCUAAGAGAAAGGAAAUUAAGGGCUUUAGACUCAAUACCAUCAAUUCCUAAGUGAAAGAGGAUCAAUAUAAAAGUUUAUAUUUUCAAAACCUCACUCCCUUUUUUAAGACAAAGAUCUCAAAAUCAAAGAAAGUUUGUUUACAAUGGGACGAAAUUUCACACUGAUCACUUUCUUGCAAUUAGUCAAUAGGUUUAACAUCCUUCCUGCUUGGCAUUUCUGUCUUUCGGCCCAGAUAAUGUGUUUAUGUUUUUAAAGACCAAAAUAUACUGUCUACCCCCACCUCUCGCCUUACAGACCACCCAAGUUUUUCACGCCGUGGGAAAAAGUUUAGGCAUAAAACUUCUAAUGAAAGAAUUUUCCCUUUUUUGUUCUUAAGGAAAUUUAAAAAAACUACAACUUGAUAAUGAGAAAAAGUUCACUCAUCCACCAGUGUCUAUCCUUAGUAAAGAGAAGCCAAAGCUUUCAAUUACUCUACAAGAGAUUUUUCUCUAUAAAAACAACCCUUUUUUCUCUUUUCUAAAGAGAAUAUCCCACCCAUCACAAUAAUGUCCAAAUAAUAACUAAGCGACCAUCACUCAGAAAUCUCAACUUAAAAUAAUUAGAAGGUCAGACUUUAACCUGAGAGGAGACAGGAAAUUGUCUUCAGUGAAGACAAACUUUCUUACUUGGUUUCUUCUAUCUUUUUACCUUAAUGUGCUACAAACUAUGUAGAUAGAAAUAUUUAUCCAUUUUUGAAAGUUUCUUAUUAACAAGCAUUAUCAGUUUUAAUAAAUAGAGAUGAUGAGGUAAAUUAAAGAAAAUAAUUAAAUAUUCAUUUUGAAUUUCCUGACCUAUCGUGACAGCCAGUUUCCUGAAGCUGCUUUGGCUUAAUUUUGCUGUAAAGGACUUAGAAGAUAAUUCUUUCAAUGCAUUUUUUUCCCCUUAAGAUAAUAAAUAGAAGACAAAAGAAAAUGAGGUGUAAUAACCAUAUUAAAAAUUACAUGUUAUGAUAAUAAUGUAAAUAGCGCUUUUAUAUUUUAGCUAGUAUUUUACGUGAUAGUGGAUUGAUAUUCACUCUAUUUGGAAGAUUGGAAAAAAGUCUUAAAUGUUUUUUUCAGCCUUUCAUGUUUUUAACAAGGUUAAAGACAGGUCCAAUAGCACUAUAAAGUGUGCAUAUGCAACAUACUUACUACAAUUAUAGUUUAAAAAUCUAUUAGAAACAUGAAUUAUCUAAAAGUCUUAUGAAUAGAGUACAUAUUUUUCAGCAAGAUUUUUUUUCUCCUUGAAAAAAAGUUAAUGGUUUUUCAGGCUCAAAUAUUUUGGAUAUCUUGGUUUAAUAGAACUGUUUCAUAGUAAAAUAUAGCAUAUAAACUCACAAAUAUUUCUUUCUAUUUUUUCAGGUUGCAUGCAUCAUUCCUUUAAUUGAGCAGAGUUAACUGGAUCAAAUUAUUUAUGGGAGAGAGAGGGAAAGCUAUACAGAAUUACAGUAAUUUUUAAUUUCCACCAAUAUAUUCUUUGUAAGUGAAUCACUCUAAAUAUUUUCUGUUACACUGAAUGAAGCAACAAUAACAAAAUAGUUUCUUAAGGUAUUUGUUUUUGCAUACUCUGACCUUGUAAUUAUCUAAAUAGCAGCCAAGUUUACUGACAUUUUUGAUUCUAUCAGAAAAAAAAA
RNAcentral lists this long non-coding RNA (4467 nucleotides) under Lynx pardinus (Iberian lynx). The stretch from base 171 to 250 matches the Rfam family "mir-199 microRNA precursor family". The record is from RNAcentral. Lineage: Eukaryota; Metazoa; Chordata; Mammalia; Carnivora; Felidae.